AGCAAUUUAGAGACGCUGAGGUACGAUCUGGAUCAGGAUGAGGGGAGGAGGAUGGAGGCUUGAGGUCGAUGUGUGAAGAUCGAAGUUUUGACGGUGGAUUGGAAUUGAGAGGUCUGCAAAACUGGAUCUGUAGUGUUGGAAACCAGUUGGCUAGUUUGUGUUGGAUUGUGAGUUGAUGAAAUUAUUUUCUUUAGGUUUUGUAAAUUUGGAGAAUGCAGUUAUGUGUUCUCUGCAACCUAUUAGAUGUGAGGUAAGAGUCUAUAAUACAGAAUAUAAUCUUGUUUGUGGAGGAAAUU
Molecule: unclassified non-coding RNA, 296 nt
Filed under: Hevea brasiliensis (rubber tree)
Lineage: Eukaryota; Viridiplantae; Streptophyta; Magnoliopsida; Malpighiales; Euphorbiaceae
Source: RNAcentral